CUGGCUUGCCACGUCUCUGUGAACAGGUCUGCCCUUACUCUGAUGUUCCUUCCUCUAUUUAUAUAAACCUUUUCC
Molecule: long non-coding RNA, 75 nt
Organism: Mustela erminea (ermine)
Lineage: Eukaryota; Metazoa; Chordata; Mammalia; Carnivora; Mustelidae
Exons: 3
Source: RefSeq, a predicted model, not a curated record